This 422-nucleotide ribosomal RNA is filed under the name uncultured bacterium. RNAcentral's name for it is "bacterial SSU rRNA". It matches the Rfam family "Bacterial small subunit ribosomal RNA", at positions 355 to 774 of the family's 1533-position model. The record is from RNAcentral.
UAAGGAAUAUUGGUCAAUGGACGGAAGUCUGAACCAGCCAUGCCGCGUGGAGGAUGAAGGCCCUCUGGGUUGUAAACUUCUUUUAUUUGGGACGAAACGCUCUUUAUCUAGAGAGCUUGACGGUACCAGAUGAAUAAGCACCGGCUAACUCCGUGCCAGCAGCCGCGGUAAUACGGAGGGUGCAAGCGUUAUCCGGAUUCACUGGGUUUGAAGGGUGCGUAGGCGUAUUUGUAAGUCCGUGGUGAGAUCUCUAAGCUUAACUUGGAAAUUGUCGUGGAUACUAUUAGUCGUGAAUAUUGUAGUGGUAAGCGGAAUAUGUCAAGUAGCGGUGAAAUGCAUAGAUAUGACAUAGAAAACCAAUUGCGAAGGCAGCUGGCUACAAAACUAUUGACGCUGAGGCACGAAAGAGUGGGGAUCAAACA